UGAUGCUCGGCGGGCGGCUCGCCGACCUGAUGGGCCGGCGGCGCACGCUCGUCGCCGGAUUCGUGCUGUUCGGCGCGGCGAGCCUCGC
Molecule: transfer RNA, 88 nt
Filed under: Streptomyces aureoverticillatus
Lineage: Bacteria; Bacillati; Actinomycetota; Actinomycetes; Kitasatosporales; Streptomycetaceae
Description: tRNA-Ile
Source: RNAcentral